Balaenoptera ricei (Rice's whale) is the source of this 566-nucleotide long non-coding RNA. RefSeq lists it as uncharacterized. NCBI's taxonomy places the organism in Eukaryota, Metazoa, Chordata, Mammalia, Artiodactyla, Balaenopteridae. The transcript has 4 exons. The record is from RefSeq and is a predicted model, not a curated record.
UUUUAUGAGAAAACCCACAAUUUUAUAACUGGUACAUUUGAUGUUGGAAGAAUGGAACAUGCAGAGGAGAAAACUAAGGAUUGUGUUCAUGUGGGCUUCCAGGCCAUCAAGAUGCCCUCCAACCUGAAGCAGGAAGUGAACAAUGGCUUGAUCAAUGUGGAAGAAACUUCAGAAGCACUGAUAAAGACAGGACACAUUAAUGUAUAUACCAUGUGAGGAAACCUGAGCAGGGCUUCUGGAGUGCCCAGUUUUACACGGGCAGUGGUUACACAGGGUCACACUGGUCGGUGGCAUAAACAGUCUUUGCACACUGCACAGAAGGCAGAUCUACCCCACCUACUGAGGAUGUAACCUGAACCGCUGGACUUGAAUGCAACAGUUGGGACACGACAGUUGAAUCUGAGACUUAGACAAAUGGAGUGACUUAUGCAAAACCACACGGUCCAGAGCUGGGAUAAAUGAGAAUCCAGUUCUCAUUCCUUUUCAUGGUCCCUCCACAUUAGUUCACAGAACAUCCUAUCAAAAUGAUGACUGUUACAGCAAAGGGUCCCCACAAAAACUCAAUA